This 71-nucleotide transfer RNA is filed under the name Pentaceraster mammillatus. RNAcentral's name for it is "tRNA-Pro". Lineage: Eukaryota; Metazoa; Echinodermata; Asteroidea; Valvatida; Oreasteridae. The record is from RNAcentral.
CAGAGAAUAGUUUAAUCUAGAACGGUAGUUUUGGGGACUACUGGAGUGAGUGUGAAAUCUUACUUUUCUGA